CCUACGGGGGGCUGCAGUAGGGAAUAUUGCUCAAUGGGGGAAACCCUGAAGCAGCAACGCCGCGUGGAGGAUGAAGGUUUUCGGAUUGUAAACUCCUUUUGUUAGAGAAGAUAAUUACGGUAUCUAACGAAUAAGCCCCGGCUAACGCCGUGCCAGCAGCCGCGGUAAUACGGAGGGUGCAAGCGUUAUUCGGAAUCACUGGGCGUAAAGCGCGCGUAGGGGGGAUAGCAAGUCAGUUGUGAAAUCCUAUGGCUUAACCAUAGAACUGCAUUGGAAACUGUUAUGCUGGAGUAUGGAGGAGGUAGGUGGAAUUCUUGGUGUAGCGGUAAAAUCCGUAGAGAUCAAGAGGAAUACUCAUUGCGAAGGCGACCUGCUAGAACAUAACUGACGCUGAUGCGCGAAAGCGUGGGGAGCAAACAGGAUUAGAUACCCCAGUAGUC
This 440-nucleotide ribosomal RNA is filed under the name uncultured bacterium. RNAcentral describes it as "partial 16S ribosomal RNA". It matches the Rfam family "Bacterial small subunit ribosomal RNA", at positions 338 to 795 of the family's 1533-position model. The record is from RNAcentral.